RNAcentral lists this ribosomal RNA (229 nucleotides) under uncultured bacterium. Its description in RNAcentral is "partial 16S ribosomal RNA". It matches the Rfam family "Bacterial small subunit ribosomal RNA", at positions 568 to 796 of the family's 1533-position model. The record is from RNAcentral.
UCCGUAGGCGGGUAAUUAAGUCAGAGGUGAAAUCCCACAGCUUAACUGUGGAACUGCCUUAGAUACUGGUUAUCUUGAGUUUUAGUGAAGUAGAUAGAAUGUGUAGUGUAGCGGUGAAAUGCAUAGAUAUUACACAGAAUACCGAUUGCGAAGGCAGUCUACUAACUAACAACUGACGCUAAUGGACGAAAGAGUGGGGAGCGAACAGGAUUAGAUACCCUGGUAGUCC